RNAcentral lists this unclassified non-coding RNA (20540 nucleotides) under Leishmania donovani. Its description in RNAcentral is "gene:LdHU3.27.0680(CDS-product:calpain-like_cyste ine_peptidase_putative)". Lineage: Eukaryota; Euglenozoa; Kinetoplastea; Trypanosomatida; Trypanosomatidae. The record is from RNAcentral.
AGAGGAGUACACACACGCGCAUCAUCUGGAAGCGAACUGCGCUUUCACCAUUGAUGUUACACAUUUUUUUUUUCGUGGGCAACUCUUUUUUUUUUGGAUUUUUAUAUUCUUUCUGCGUUCUACGUGCCACACGCGCACAGGCAUCCGCUGCCCUGUUGCUUCAGAGUGCAAAAUCGGUGACCAACAGAGGACCAUCGUUGGUGGGAGCUGUGGUCGUUGCACCUAUUGCGGCCCUCCUCACUUGAGCAUUGUCUGUGGAGCUGGCUCGACGAUUAGAGAAAGCGCAUCACAGUCCCGCCCAUCUUUCCUACGCACGCUCGCCUUGUACAUAGCCAUUUUCUUCUUUGCCGUAACUAAUUUUCAGUAACCUCUCUCAUUUUGUUUUUCUUCGUCUUCUUCGGCUGGUUUCGUUUUGUGUUGUGCCACACCAAGACCUUUCAGUGCACAUCUUUCUCACCUCCCCUUCACAUCCCCCCCGCCUGCUGUCGCAGAGUAAAUUAUUGUUUGGUGUGCGGCGUGUGCGCGCGCGUGGCUUUGUGUGUGUGUUUAUUUUUUUUUGGAUUUCCUUUCCCCCUUGGGACUACGCCAAGUCUGUUGUAUGCCCCCGUCAGUCCCUUCCGCCGACGUCUCUCUCUCGUUUUGAUCGCGCCUAAGCUGCCGUUUUUUUUUUCCCUUUGCGUUCGUGUUGUGACUUGGUUUAAGCUACGGAGCGGGGCGCAUCUUGCCCCUCCACACGUUCUCUCUUUCCGUUGACGUGUCGAUCGCGCUCCUCACAGUUCUCUUUCCCUUUGGUUGUUGGCCGCGUGUGUAUAUGUAUAUUCUUUAUUCUCCUUUUUACACCACGUUUGGUCUUGUGGGUCUCUCUCGAUAUAUAUAUAUAUAUAUAUAUAUAUAUAUACCCGUUUUUGUGUGUGUUGUUGCGCUCUUGCAGGGUGGAGCGCAGCGGCGCCCUAAAAAAAAACGCUACGACCUCAGCAGGUCUGAAACAGCAUCAGAAAAGGAGGAAGGCAGCUCGACCUCCCGUAUCUCCUCUCGAUAAUCAUGUCGUCACUUUUUACGGAAGUACCGGACAGCAACACGCUCUUCAAGGACACUGAGUUCAUCGCAAGCAAUCAAGAUGUGGCAGAUCAGUGGGUGUCCAUUCGCGAUCUGUAUCCGAGCGGCGUGAACCAGCCGCUGCUGCCCGAAGUAUUCUCGCGCGAGCAGUUCGGCCAGGGCAACCACUAUGAAUGCUUCAUGCUCUCGGCACUUGCAACGCUGAUCCGCUUCCCGGAUGUGAUCCGCAACUGCUUUGUGACGAAGAAGGUGCGCCAGGAUGGCCGCUACACGUUCCAGUUCUUCCGCAGGCAGGAGUGGGUAAAGGUCGAGAUCGACGACACCAUUCCUUUAGAGGAUGAUGCGGUUCUGUACGCGCGGUCCCCGACUGAGCACUGGUGGCCGCUGCUGCUGGAGAAGGCGUACGCGAAGUUCUACACCGGCUACGACCAGCUCGAGGGCUGCACGUUGCAGGAGACAUUCCACGACCUGACAGGCAACCCGGUGCUGAACAUCCCCAUGGACGCCAAGCUGGCCAAGGCGGCCGGCGUCAAUACUAAAGAUGGACCUUACUGGUUGUUGAUGGGUGAAUGCCUGCUACGCGGCGACCAUGUCUUGUCUGCCCUUACGAAGGAUGCGGAACUGGAAAGCAUCGGCAUGCAGUCGGAGCAGCAAUACGCAAUUCUAGGUAUCUUCUCUCUUACAGGAUCUUCGGCACUGGACGACAUCGUUAUUCAUCUGCACAACCCCUUCGAGGACGAUGAGUACGAGUACAGCGGUCCCUUAAACAAGAACGACAGCAAGUGGACAGCGAAGCUGCGGCAGCAAUACCCCGUAGAUGACCGCUAUUCCAUCUUUAUUCCGCUGAAGUUGUUUCUGAAAUCCGUGAACUCCAUCCAGCACUGCUUUAUGCGCACCAUCGAUGCUGUGUCGCAAACGUACAGCGCCGCAUGGAAGAGUGAGUCGGCCGGCGGCAACCCGACGAGUGUGUUGUGGCGCAAGAACCCGCUAUUCCUGGUGCGAAACAGCGGCCCGGCGGAGGUCAAGAUAGUCACGAUGAUACAGCAGGAAGACCAGCGCCGCUUCUCCAAUCCGGAUAGCGACACAACUUACGCUCAGUGUGGUGUUGUCGUGACUCGGUUCACCUACCAGCACCCGAUACCGACCUUCUACGUCACCGGAAACAGCCACAAGACAAUCUUCAAGGGCCUCUUCCUCAACUCGCGCGACGUGUCGAACGUAUUUACGAUCCCGGGGCACUCCAUGUGCUACCUCGUCCCCUGCACCAUGCAAAAAGGCGUCGAGGCUAGCUUUCAGUUAUCGCUGUACCACCUCAAGGAUCAAGAUUACUCGCAGCUCUCAGUAGAGCAGCUGACCAUCCCUGGCAUGAACUGGGCCGGCCCUGCCACGAAAGAUAUUGAGCUGUGCCAGAAAAAAAAGGACCGUGCUGACUUCUACGUCGAUGAAGGGACCGAUAUUCACAUCCUCACGCACCAAACAAAGCCCUACGUCAGCAAGUCCGGCGGUGACGCCAUGACGGAGGACUACACGGGCAUGUACCUCUACGACGACACGGACCGCAAGAUAGCCGGUGUACACGCUGCCACGAACUUCCGCGAGAUCAGCAUCAUCCACCGCCUCCCCCGCAGCGGUCGCUAUGCCAUCUCCAUCACGUGCCCGCGUGCGAAGGGCGAGGUGCCGGCUUACAUUACCAUCGUUGGCUCGCACGCCUCGAACGUACGCAUCGUCGACCCACCAGAGGAUGCCACGAUGUUCGACGAUGAGGACAUCAUCGACGAAGGCGAAGACGCCGCCCUCGUGCACAACCCGAUCGACUACGUCCCCGUCGUAUUCGAUGUGGCGCACCUCGACGAGCAGGCCGAAAGCGAUUCCCCGUUCGAGGACAAGCGCUUCUACGUGGACAACCGUGGUGCCACGAGCGAGCCAUGGGUGCACAUCGGCGACCUUUACCCCGAAGGCAAGACGAGGCCGCUGCUGCCGAACGAGCUGAGCCGCGACCAAUUCGGGCAGGGCGACCACUACGACUGCAGUACGCUGACGGCGUUCGCGGCACUGCUGGAACACCACCCCGACGUGAUCCGCAACUGCUUCAUCUCGAAGAACCCGCGCAAGGAUGGCCGCUACACGUUCCAGUUCCACCGCUACGGGCAGUGGAUCAAGGUGGAGAUCGACGACCGCAUUCCGAUGGUGAAGGACGACACGGUGUUUUGCCGCUCGCCGACGCACCACUGGUGGCCGCUGCUGCUGGAGAAGGCGUACGCGAAAUUCUACACGCGUUAUGAGGACCUCGAGAACCUUUCGCAGGAAGAGGUCUUUCACGACUAUACAGGUCGUCCGUGCAUCUCUGUGUCGACUGACCCGGCGCAGGCGAAGGUGAACAUGUCCUACUUCGACGAGGCGCCCUACUGGAAGGAGCUGGCUAGCAAGUUGCCGGACUUGUGCACGACUGCACUGGCGAGCGGCCGAGAGGCGGAGCAGUACGGUUUGCUGAAGGGACGGCAUUACGCGGUGCUGGAUAUUGUAUCGAUAGCCGAUGGGGAACGGGUUAGUGACAUGCUUGUGAAGAUGUACAACCCGUAUGAGGACUCGCCGUACACGGGUCCGAUGAACGCCAAGGACGACGCCUGGACUAGUGAGCUGCAGAGCAGGUUUAGACCCGGAGAUGAUAGCCACGCUUUCUACAUCCCUGCCGACAACUUUGUGACGGCGUUCUCGGCGAUGCAGAUGGGGUACGUUGGUGGCCUUGCGGAGCCUUCUCGGCACUUCAACAGCGAGUGGGGCCAGGACACCAAUGGCGGGGACACGUCUCUCAUAUCAUGGCGCAAGAACCCCUUGUUCAUUUUUUCGAACCCGACAAACGACGUUGUGCAGCUCGUGGCAAUGCUGCGUCAGCCGGAUCAGCGACACUUGCUGCACACCAUGCCAAACCAGGAGCUGGUCUAUCCCAUGAAAGGUCUUUCUGUCGCCCAGGCAAACCCCAGCGCUGCAGGCAUUCCAACAUACUUGGUCACGCUCGAUAAUCACCGUCUUAUUCACCAUGAGAAGCCGCUAGCAGUGCGCGAGGUGACCAACGUGCUGACGAUUCCGCCACAGUCGGUGUGCUACGUCGCUGGGCACUGCAACAACCGCGCCGUUAGCAAAUUUCUGCUCUCCUACUGGUUCAUGCGGGGCGAGGAUGGCGAGAAGCUGCGCAUCGAACGCUACCGCCCAAAGGUGGCGCAGCACCAGCCGGCAAUCGCGCACGUCGAUCUCGGCAACCGCGCAAGCGAGCGGGUCGACUUUUUAAUCGACACACCGACAGAGGUACAUGCGGUACUUCGGCAGGAGAAGGCAUUUGAGUCUCCUCAGGGCGGUGACGUGAUCGCCCAAGACUAUGUUGGCGUCUACUUGUACGAUCUGCAGAACAAUUGCAUCAAAGGACUUCCCUCCGCCAUGAACUACCGCGAGGUGGGUCUCGUGACGCACCUCGCGAAACCGGGCCACUAUGUUUUCUUCAUUACCUGCCCCCACAGUAGCGGUGACGUGCCAUGCAGGGUGGAGAUAGCUGCCGAUGAGGAUGCGCACGUGCGCAUCACAGAGACGCCGCAGAAUGCUGCCGCUCUGAGCGCUCUGGACAUGGCCUUUCUCGAUGCGCACCCGGAAAGUAUUCCACUAUCGGAGUUGCCCAUUGACAGGGAUCUCCCGUUCCAGGACGACUUGGCCGCACUCGAACGCCUCCUCAGCGACCCAUCUGCGAGCGCGGAGGAGAUUCAACGCCUCAAGGAUUGCCUUAACGAGCGGGCGCAUGCUCUGGCGAAGGCAAUACUGGCCAGCGAGCGGCCGAUCUACUUAAUAUCCCAUGACCUCCAUGCACUCAACCCGCUGCUCGACGACGACCAGGCGUACAUGGAUGCGGAACGUGAGCGGUACUACCUCAAACAGGAUUUGCGCAAUCACUACAAGUUGCCCGCACAGGAGGCGAAGCUGCGCAGCAUCGCCGACAGCAUCGCUGACGAGCUUCUCCAUGUCGACCUCUCUUUCAUCGAGGCACGUCCAGAGGGCAUCCCACGCGACGCGAUUCCAAUGAUCUCUGACAAGGCAUUCGCCGAGAUGACGACGGACCUGCUGCGUCUACGGCGUCGUCCGGAGCCGAAUCCAUCAGCCAUUCGUGACGCUGAGCAUCGCCUCAACGAAAGAGCAAAGGAAUUGGCUCGAGCGAUGCACGAUACCGAGCGCACCUACCUCGAUCAACAGCCGCAGCUCGUGCCUCUCGAAUUGUUACCGCUUAACACAGAUGAAAGCUUCUGCGCCGAGGAGGACGAACUCAGGCAGCUACUUCAAUCGUCCCCCUCUGCUCAACAGACUAUCGCCGCCUUACAAGCCAAGUUGAACAACCACGCUCAUGAAUUGGCGCGGCAGCUGAAGGAUGGGGAGCGUGGCAAGCUCCUGGCCGCCUCGUACGAGGGCAUACCGACGUCUGAGCUGCCACUCGACACGGAUGCCGCUUUCCACGAGAUGGAGGUGGAGCGGCUGCGGCGCGUGCGCACCUGUGCGGAUGCGGAUGCGGAUGCGGAGGUUGCGCGUCUGGAGGACGAGAUGCGGAAUCGCGCGCGUGAUCUGGCUGUGUCGAAGAAGGCGAGCGAGCGAGUGAUGCUGCGGAGCAUGGAGACGCCGCUGACGUCGGGGCAGCUGGACGCGCUGCUGGACAAGGACGCGGAGACUGCUGACAUGGAGCGGAGGCUGCGCGAGCUGCGAAAGAAGCCGGACAAGAACGCUGCGGCGAUCAAGGCGCUGGAGGAGGAGGUGCAGAAACGUGCGCAGGAGCUCGCUGACGGGCAUCUUGCCGAGGAGCGUUCCAAGUGUUUGGCGGCAGAGUACGGAGGCCGCACGAUGGGGGCACUUCCGCUGUGCGACGACGCUGCGUACCGUGACGCGGAGGCUGCGUACAUGAAGAUGCUCGAGUCUGACCACGCAGACGCUGCUGCGCUGCAGCGGCUGAUCGACACAAUGAACGAGCGUGCGGCGGGCAUUGCCCACGACAUGAACGUCGCCGACCGAGCCAAGUACCUGCCGAAGGCUCUUCGCGGUGUGCCUCUGCGGGCGCUGCCGCUGGACGAUGACGACGAGUUUCGGCGUUUGGAGCACGAGCGUGCGCGUGCGGCGGGCACGCCUGGCCACAAGGCCGAGGUCGAAGCUCUGGAAGCGCAGCUCCUUGCCCGCGCGGAUGAGUUGGCACGGGCCCGACUUGCGGGCGACCGCGCAUAUCUUGCGCCGGAGCCAGCGGGGAUUCCUCUAGAGCUUGUGCCGCUGGACGAGGAUGCCGAGUUCUGCGCGAAGGAGGCGCAGCGUGCGGAGCUGAAAGAGAACGGGAAGGCCGACCGGAGCGGCAUAGCGCUCAGGGAGACGGAGCUGAACGCGCGUGCCGUAGAGGUUGCGCAGCAGCUGAAGGAUGGGGAGCGUGGCAAGCUCCUGGCCGCCUCGUACGAGGGCAUACCGACGUCUGAGCUGCCACUCGACACGGAUGCCGCUUUCCACGAGAUGGAGGUGGAGCGGCUGCGGCGCGUGCGCACCUGUGCGGAUGCGGAUGCGGAUGCGGAGGUUGCGCGUCUGGAGGACGAGAUGCGGAAUCGCGCGCGUGAUCUGGCUGUGUCGAAGAAGGCGAGCGAGCGAGUGAUGCUGCGGAGCAUGGAGACGCCGCUGACGUCGGGGCAGCUGGACGCGCUGCUGGACAAGGACGCGGAGACUGCUGACAUGGAGCGGAGGCUGCGCGAGCUGCGAAAGAAGCCGGACAAGAACGCUGCGGCGAUCAAGGCGCUGGAGGAGGAGGUGCAGAAACGUGCGCAGGAGCUCGCUGACGGGCAUCUUGCCGAGGAGCGUUCCAAGUGUUUGGCGGCAGAGUACGGAGGCCGCACGAUGGGGGCACUUCCGCUGUGCGACGACGCUGCGUACCGUGACGCGGAGGCUGCGUACAUGAAGAUGCUCGAGUCUGACCACGCAGACGCUGCUGCGCUGCAGUGGCUGAUCGACACAAUGAACGAGCGUGCGGCGGGCAUUGCCCACGACAUGAACGUCGCCGACCGAGCCAAGUACCUGCCGAAGGCUCUUCGCGGUGUGCCUCUGCGGGCGCUGCCGCUGGACGAUGACGACGAGUUUCGGCGUUUGGAGCACGAGCGUGCGCGUGCGGCGGGCACGCCUGGCCACAAGGCCGAGGUCGAAGCUCUGGAAGCGCAGCUCCUUGCCCGCGCGGAUGAGUUGGCACGGGCCCGACUUGCGGGCGACCGCGCAUAUCUUGCGCCGGAGCCAGCGGGGAUUCCUCUAGAGCUUGUGCCGCUGGACGAGGAUGCCGAGUUCUGCGCGAAGGAGGCGCAGCGUGCGGAGCUGAAAGAGAACGGGAAGGCCGACCGGAGCGGCAUAGCGCUCAGGGAGACGGAGCUGAACGCGCGUGCCGUAGAGGUUGCGCAGCAGCUGAAGGAUGGGGAGCGUGGCAAGCUCCUGGCCGCCUCGUACGAGGGCAUACCGACGUCUGAGCUGCCACUCGACACGGAUGCCGCUUUCCACGAGAUGGAGGUGGAGCGGCUGCGGCGCGUGCGCACCUGUGCGGAUGCGGAUGCGGAUGCGGAGGUUGCGCGUCUGGAGGACGAGAUGCGGAAUCGCGCGCGUGAUCUGGCUGUGUCGAAGAAGGCGAGCGAGCGAGUGAUGCUGCGGAGCAUGGAGACGCCGCUGACGUCGGGGCAGCUGGACGCGCUGCUGGACAAGGACGCGGAGACUGCUGACAUGGAGCGGAGGCUGCGCGAGCUGCGAAAGAAGCCGGACAAGAACGCUGCGGCGAUCAAGGCGCUGGAGGAGGAGGUGCAGAAACGUGCGCAGGAGCUCGCUGACGGGCAUCUUGCCGAGGAGCGUUCCAAGUGUUUGGCGGCAGAGUACGGAGGCCGCACGAUGGGGGCACUUCCGCUGUGCGACGACGCUGCGUACCGUGACGCGGAGGCUGCGUACAUGAAGAUGCUCGAGUCUGACCACGCAGACGCUGCUGCGCUGCAGUGGCUGAUCGACACAAUGAACGAGCGUGCGGCGGGCAUUGCCCACGACAUGAACGUCGCCGACCGAGCCAAGUACCUGCCGAAGGCUCUUCGCGGUGUGCCUCUGCGGGCGCUGCCGCUGGACGAUGACGACGAGUUUCGGCGUUUGGAGCACGAGCGUGCGCGUGCGGCGGGCACGCCUGGCCACAAGGCCGAGGUCGAAGCUCUGGAAGCGCAGCUCCUUGCCCGCGCGGAUGAGUUGGCACGGGCCCGACUUGCGGGCGACCGCGCAUAUCUUGCGCCGGAGCCAGCGGGGAUUCCUCUAGAGCUUGUGCCGCUGGACGAGGAUGCCGAGUUCUGCGCGAAGGAGGCGCAGCGUGCGGAGCUGAAAGAGAACGGGAAGGCCGACCGGAGCGGCAUAGCGCUCAGGGAGACGGAGCUGAACGCGCGUGCCGUAGAGGUUGCGCAGCAGCUGAAGGAUGGGGAGCGUGGCAAGCUCCUGGCCGCCUCGUACGAGGGCAUACCGACGUCUGAGCUGCCACUCGACACGGAUGCCGCUUUCCACGAGAUGGAGGUGGAGCGGCUGCGGCGCGUGCGCACCUGUGCGGAUGCGGAUGCGGAUGCGGAGGUUGCGCGUCUGGAGGACGAGAUGCGGAAUCGCGCGCGUGAUCUGGCUGUGUCGAAGAAGGCGAGCGAGCGAGUGAUGCUGCGGAGCAUGGAGACGCCGCUGACGUCGGGGCAGCUGGACGCGCUGCUGGACAAGGACGCGGAGACUGCUGACAUGGAGCGGAGGCUGCGCGAGCUGCGAAAGAAGCCGGACAAGAACGCUGCGGCGAUCAAGGCGCUGGAGGAGGAGGUGCAGAAACGUGCGCAGGAGCUCGCUGACGGGCAUCUUGCCGAGGAGCGUUCCAAGUGUUUGGCGGCAGAGUACGGAGGCCGCACGAUGGGGGCACUUCCGCUGUGCGACGACGCUGCGUACCGUGACGCGGAGGCUGCGUACAUGAAGAUGCUCGAGUCUGACCACGCAGACGCUGCUGCGCUGCAGUGGCUGAUCGACACAAUGAACGAGCGUGCGGCGGGCAUUGCCCACGACAUGAACGUCGCCGACCGAGCCAAGUACCUGCCGAAGGCUCUUCGCGGUGUGCCUCUGCGGGCGCUGCCGCUGGACGAUGACGACGAGUUUCGGCGUUUGGAGCACGAGCGUGCGCGUGCGGCGGGCACGCCUGGCCACAAGGCCGAGGUCGAAGCUCUGGAAGCGCAGCUCCUUGCCCGCGCGGAUGAGUUGGCACGGGCCCGACUUGCGGGCGACCGCGCAUAUCUUGCGCCGGAGCCAGCGGGGAUUCCUCUAGAGCUUGUGCCGCUGGACGAGGAUGCCGAGUUCUGCGCGAAGGAGGCGCAGCGUGCGGAGCUGAAAGAGAACGGGAAGGCCGACCGGAGCGGCAUAGCGCUCAGGGAGACGGAGCUGAACGCGCGUGCCGUAGAGGUUGCGCAGCAGCUGAAGGAUGGGGAGCGUGGCAAGCUCCUGGCCGCCUCGUACGAGGGCAUACCGACGUCUGAGCUGCCACUCGACACGGAUGCCGCUUUCCACGAGAUGGAGGUGGAGCGGCUGCGGCGCGUGCGCACCUGUGCGGAUGCGGAUGCGGAUGCGGAGGUUGCGCGUCUGGAGGACGAGAUGCGGAAUCGCGCGCGUGAUCUGGCUGUGUCGAAGAAGGCGAGCGAGCGAGUGAUGCUGCGGAGCAUGGAGACGCCGCUGACGUCGGGGCAGCUGGACGCGCUGCUGGACAAGGACGCGGAGACUGCUGACAUGGAGCGGAGGCUGCGCGAGCUGCGAAAGAAGCCGGACAAGAACGCUGCGGCGAUCAAGGCGCUGGAGGAGGAGGUGCAGAAACGUGCGCAGGAGCUCGCUGACGGGCAUCUUGCCGAGGAGCGUUCCAAGUGUUUGGCGGCAGAGUACGGAGGCCGCACGAUGGGGGCACUUCCGCUGUGCGACGACGCUGCGUACCGUGACGCGGAGGCUGCGUACAUGAAGAUGCUCGAGUCUGACCACGCAGACGCUGCUGCGCUGCAGCGGCUGAUCGACACAAUGAACGAGCGUGCGGCGGGCAUUGCCCACGACAUGAACGUCGCCGACCGAGCCAAGUACCUGCCGAAGGCUCUUCGCGGUGUGCCUCUGCGGGCGCUGCCGCUGGACGAUGACGACGAGUUUCGGCGUUUGGAGCACGAGCGUGCGCGUGCGGCGGGCACGCCUGGCCACAAGGCCGAGGUCGAAGCUCUGGAAGCGCAGCUCCUUGCCCGCGCGGAUGAGUUGGCACGGGCCCGACUUGCGGGCGACCGCGCAUAUCUUGCGCCGGAGCCAGCGGGGAUUCCUCUAGAGCUUGUGCCGCUGGACGAGGAUGCCGAGUUCUGCGCGAAGGAGGCGCAGCGUGCGGAGCUGAAAGAGAACGGGAAGGCCGACCGGAGCGGCAUAGCGCUCAGGGAGACGGAGCUGAACGCGCGUGCCGUAGAGGUUGCGCAGCAGCUGAAGGAUGGGGAGCGUGGCAAGCUCCUGGCCGCCUCGUACGAGGGCAUACCGACGUCUGAGCUGCCACUCGACACGGAUGCCGCUUUCCACGAGAUGGAGGUGGAAUGGCUGAGGCUGAAGGUAAUGGAUAGGCAACCUAAUGGGGCAACGAAGAGCAGCCUUCAUGCUGCACUAAAUCGCAGGGCAGCGGAUUUGGCGCGUAGUCUUCGCGUUGCCGACCUCUCUUCUGUUGAGGCCGCUCCUCUUGGACUUUCGAAGGAGUUGCUGGAUUUGCACAAUGACAGUGUGUGUGCGGUGCUCAUCAAGGAGGUGCGGCAGCUCCGCCAGAAUGCUGUAGGCAACACUGCCGUUCUCCGGGAAAAGGAGUCGGCGUUGAAUGACCGUGCCUUCGAGGUGGCGCGGAGGUUGCUGUCCGGCGACCGGUUGAGCUAUCUUGGCCCCAAGCCGCUCAGCAUUCUGCUGGAGCAUAUUCCGCUUGACGAGGAUGAUGUAUUCCAUGCCUUGGAGGUGGAGCGGAGCAUGAUGAAGGUUACUGACCCGGCCAACAGCGUCGCUGCUGUGCGGAAGGCAGAGAACAUGCUGAAGGACCGCGCGUGCCAGCUGGCGGAGUUGGUGAUGAAGGAAGAUCUUGCCAACUUCCCUCCCAACUACCAUGGCAUCUGCACGAAGGAUCUGAAGCCGCACUUCGAUCGCCUCUUCAGUGAGGCAGCCGAGAAGCGUCGCGCCGGCAUGCGCGACCGGACCAUCACAUUUAAGGAGAACCUUGAGCAAAUCAUGGACGACCGUCUGAACGAGCUUGCGCUGGAGCGGAAGGAAGGUGAGCUGUACUUCAUUGACCCCAACCCAGAGGGUGUGCCGCUGUCAGAGCUGCCGCUGAGCACCGACAAGGCCUUCAAUGACCUGCGGCAGGGGCGACAGGAGCUUAGGGAAAGCGACCCAAUGGAAAACCGGAAGGCCAUUGCUGGUCUAGAGGAUGAGAUGAACAGAAGAGCGGCGGAGCUUGCUCGCAGUGUGCUGAGUAGCGACUUGGACGGCUUGGACAAGCUUCCAUUGGGUAUUCCGCUGGACCUGUUGAAACCGCGCCAAGACGCCGAAGUGGUGCGGCUAAUCGAAGAGCUGCGGCGGUCGAAGCGGCUGCCACAGCUGAAGCACAAUGUCGCGGAGCUGCAGGCAAAGCUGAACGAGCGCGUACACGAGCUUGCCACGGCGGCGCUGGAAGAAGGGCGUGAUGCAUACCUCGACCCCCACCCUGAAGGGGUGCCGCGUGAGAUACUGCCGCUGCGUACUGACGCCGUGUUCCAAAAGGAGGUGCAGCGGGCAAUUCUGCGUCUGCAGGACCCCGCCAAGCACGCUGGUGCUAUAGCGCAUCUGGAGAGCGAGCUCAAGGCUUGCGUGAAAGAGUUGGCACUUGCGCAGAAGGAGGAGGACCUGCGCGGUCUGGAUCAGCAACCCCACGACCUGCCGCUGACACUCCUGCAGCCGCACCAGGACGCCCAGCUCGGGAAGAUGAUAGAUGAGCUGCGCUGGCUGAAGGCGUCGGAAGGCGAUCAGCACAUUGCGGUAAAGGAGGUGCAGUCUCGCAUGAACGACCGUUGCUACGCGAUGGCAGACAGUGCCAUGAAGGGCGACCGCUGUUACCUGGAUCCGAAGCCGGAGAAGGUGCCACUCAGGCGCCUGCCGCUCGACACGGAUGCCGCCUUCCACGCUCUUGAGGUGGAGCGGGCAAAGCUGAAGCUGACAGACCCCAGGAAGAACGAGCACAAAAUCGCCGGCUUGGAGGCUCAACUGAACAGCCGCGCAGCGGAGCUGGCCAGGGCUGUGAAGAAGGCAGAUCUCAAGUCGGUGGAACAGACACCGCGCGGUAUCCCGUUGGAGCUACUCAACCUGCAUGAGGACCCCACGUUUAGUGCGUUGAUUGCAGAGAAGGAGCAGCUGCCCGAGGGUCACAGCGCAGAUUUGGCCGCCAGGCUGCUCAGCUCGAUGAACGAAUGCGCGAUGAAGGCAGCCGACAAGCUUCUCCGUGGCGACCGCGGUUACCUCGAUCAGGACCCGGAGGGUCUGCCUCUUGGGCAUCUGCCUCUUGACACCGACACGGCCUUCCAUGAGAUGGAGGUGGAGCGGGCACUUUUGAAGGCGCGCGAUCCUGUCAAGAACUCCUCCACCAUAAAGGACCUCGAGGCCCAGCUAAACAAACGCGCGCACGAUCUGGCGAAUGCGGCACUCGCGAUGGAUCGUGGCUACCUCAGCCCGAGGCCGGAAGGUGUGUCGAUCGAGGAGCUGCCACUCUUCACGGACAGCAAGUUCCACUCGCUGGAGGUGGAGCGGGCGAAGUUGAAGAUGUCCCGCGCGGAUGGGCACGCGGAGCGCAUGCAAGAGUUGGAGGGCCGCCUCAACAAACGCGCGGCGAGUCUGGCGAGGGAGCAACUCGAGGAGGACCUGAAAGGACUGGACCAGGAACCUGAGGGCUACCCGCUCAACUUUCUGCGGCCUCACAACGACGCGGUCUUUGCUGCGGAGGUGGUGUCGCUGCGGCGGGCAAAGAAGGAGCCGCUGGUAAGUGCGGCGAAGGUGCGCGACGCGCAAGAGGCUCUGAAUGUACGCGCUCACGUGCUCGCGAGGGAGCGCAUUGCGGCGGACCGCGCUCGGCUGGACCAGGAACCGGAGAAUGUUCCGUUGUCACUGCUAACGCUUGAGGAAGAUGCGCUGUUUGUGGCGAUGGAAAUGAAGCUCCGAUCGCUGAAGGCUUCUGACAAGCAGAGCCCGAGGGCGAUCGCCGAGGCGGAGGGGCGGAUGAACGACCGCGUGCACGUGAUGGCAGCCAAGGUGAAGGCGGAGGGCCGCGACUUUCUUCGAAGCAAGUCGUUUGAUAUUCCGAAGGAGCUGCUGGCCCUGGACGCGGACAAGGCCUUUGUGGCCAUGGAGAAAGAGCUUUGGAAGCAGAAGCAGCAGCCACAUGCCCCUCGCUCCUCCAGCGCCGCCGCCGACUUGCGACGCAAGCUGCAGGCGCGGGCCGACGAGGUGGGUGAAGCGCAGCUGAAGAAUGACCGUGACAAGUACCUCGACAUGCAGCCCGAAGGUGUGGACCUGUGCGACAUCCCGCUCGACACCGACCAUGCUUACCACGGAAUGGAAGUCAAGCGGGCAAUCCUGCUGGCCCAAGACGCGACCGGGACAAGGUCCGCAGUGGAGGAACUGGAUAAGGAGCUGAAUGCGCGCGCCCACGAGUUGGCGCACGAAAUCGUCGUGGGCGAUCGCGGCUACUUGCCUGAAGAGAUGCACGGCAUCCCUGUGGAGGAGCUGCCGCUGGACACGGACAGGAAGUUCAUGAAGCUGGAGCGGCAGCGCCGUGCGCACAAGCGCUCACCUGACAUGAAGAAGGAAGUGGCGGCUGAUGAGGAGGAGCUACGCAAUCACGCGCUGAAGUUGGCGGACGAGGUGAUUGCGAUGGAUUUGGAGCCCAUCAAGGCGUCCUACCGCGGCAUCGCGAAGGAGGAGCUUAACCUGCACGCUGACGUGGCGUUUCGCGAGCUCGCGAAGAAGCGCCGCCGGCAUCGUGGUAAGGGGCGAGUCGAGGCGGCGGAGGUGGCCGCCAUCGAGGACGAAAUGGACCGCCGCGCCUGUGAGAUUGCCGAUGACUUGAUCACAGCCGAGCGUGCUUUCCUCGACCCCCAGCCGGAGGGCAUGUACAUUAACGAAGUUCCGCUCGAUGACGACCCGACAUUCCAGAAGCUGGAACAGGAGUACCGCCGGCGCCGCAGGGACCCACGCUCGGCGAAGCAGAAUGGAGAUGUGCUUCGCGAGCUCACCGAGGCGAUGAACCGGCGCUCCCACACCCUCGCUCGGGCCGCCUUUGCAAAGACCCGCGGCUUCAUGGAGCAGGAGCAGGAGGGCAUCCCGUUGGCGGAGCUCGGCCUGGACGAGGAUCCAGAGUUCAAGGAGGCGGAAAUCGCGCGGUACCGCAUGAACCACAGCGCCUCUCCCAACGCGGCCACGGUGGCCGAGAUGGAAUUGCGCAUGAACGAAAGAGCGAGGGAGCUUGCGUGGGCAACACUGGCUGCCGACCGCGUCUUUCUGGACCCCAUGCCGGAAGGCGUGCUGCUGGGGGAGCUGCCGCUGGACUCGGACAAGGAGUUCGGCGACCUCGCAAGAGAGCGGCGCCGUCGCAAGAAAACGCUGAAGGGAGGCAUAGGUGAGGCCGAAGUCAGGGCUAUCGAGGAGAAGAUGAACGCUCGUUCGCACGAGCUGGCCAAGGAGUUUCUAGAGGCGGAGCGGGCCUUUCUGUCACGCGAACCGGAAGGUGUGCCGCUGGCUGAUUUGCCCCUCAAUGCCGACUCACUGUUCCGCGCAAUGGAGGACGAGCGACUGCAGCUAAAACGCGAGCCUCUCGGCAACGCCGCGAUUAUAGCGGCAAAGGAGACGGAUUUGGAGGAUAGAGCACACGUGAUUGCCAAGGAUCUGCUUCGCAAAGAGCGCGCGUUUCUCGAUCAGGAGCCGCUUGGCGUGCCGCUGGAGGAGCUGCCUCUGAAUCACGACGAGAUCCUCAACCCUAUCGAGCGCAAGCGCCGUGCACUGCGGAGGCAUCCCAAACGCAACCACGAGGCCAUUCGCGCCUGCGAAGAGCAGAUGGCGGACCGCGUUGGGCAGAUUGCGGAGGAUUUUGUACAGAAGGAGCGGGCGUUUCUGGAUCAGAACCCGGAGGGGGUCCCGCUGCGUUACCUGCCCCUCAACACAGAUCGCGAGUUCCAUGAGAGGGAGCUGCAGCGCCGUAAGCUGCGCCUGCGCCGCGAAAAGAACCGCAGCGAGCUUGCCGACACGGAGCGGAAGAUGAACGAGCGUGUGCACGUGCUCGCCAAGGAUCUGGUCCUCAAGGGUCGCGCCUUCCUGCACUCGGAGCCGUGCGGCGUGCCUAUCGCAGAUGUUCCGUUAAACGAAGACGAGGACUUCCGCAAGAUGGAGGAGCAGCGUCGUGCCCUUAAAGAGGCGGGCCGCAGCGCCGCUUGCGUGAAGACGAUCGAGGAAAAGCUGAACAAUCGCGCCGAGGAACUGGCGCAAGGGUUGCUGGACGACGAGCGAGCCUUCAUGGACUGCGCUCCGCUCGGCAUUCCACUGCACGACCUGCCGCUCAACACGGACCGUCGAAUGCGCGAAAUUGAGCGAACGCGGCGGCAUCUUCGUAAGUUUGAUCCGGAAGGUGGUGCGGUCGAUAUUGCAGUGCUGGAGACGGGCAUGAACGCUCGCGCGUACGAGUUGGCCGAUCAGCUGCUGAGCAGCGACCGGGACUACCUGCAACCGGAGCCGUGUGGCGUGCCGCUAGCGGAUCUCCCGCUGCACACGGAUCGCAUCUUCCACGAAAAGGAACUGGCGCGCUUCCGUGCGAAGAAGAAAGGUCAGACAGACCUGUUUCAGAUGGAGGAUGAACUGAACGAGCGGGCCAUGGAGCUGGCGGCGGAAUUCAUUCAGACGGAGCGCGCGUACCUCGACCAGGAGCCGGAGGGCAUUCCACUUGAACGGCUGCCGUUGGAUACGGACCCGAUCUUUCACAACAUUGAGCUGGAGCGGCGGCGUCUGAAGCGUAGCGGCGAGAACUCGCCCCAGGUGCUGGAGCUGGAGCGCCUGCUGAACCGUCGCGCGCAUGAGCUGUCGAUGGAGCUUCGAGGGUGGCAGGACCCGGAGUUCCACGCGGCCAAUGAGCACGUGGCGGAGCAGUGGGUGCGCGUGUGCGAUCUGUACCCCGAGGGCCGCUACGAGGACUUCGUGCCGGCAGCCCUGGCGCCGGGUGACGUCGUGUCCGCGCCGCAGGACAUGAGCUACCUUGUCCCGUUCAUUGCCGCUCUGACGCAGCACCCGGUGCUGCUGCGGCGUCUCAUAGUUACGAAGGAGGCCCCAGUCAACGCACCUUACACGUUCAUCUUCUUCGAUCCCCACGGCAAUCCUGUAUACGUAGAUGUCGACGACCGCGUGCCGUGCGACGACAAUCGGGAGCCGAAGUUCGCGCAGUCGCCAUACAACCUAUGGUACCCGCUGUUGCUGGAGAAAGCGUACGCCAAGUUCGUCGGCGGCUACGACCAGCUCAUCAACUGUACCUCUCUGGAGACGCUGCGUGACCUUACGGGUCGCCCUGUGACGCACACCCCUUUCAAACGGAAGCUGGCGGAGGCUGGCAACCUCGACAACUAUAUGACCGUGGACUUCUGGCUAGGCGUGAAAGAGGGCAUGGCGCGCGGUGACGUGGUCGUAUGCUCGUCAAACGCUGAGGUACCGAAUGGCAUUCAUCCCUGCUGCAGCUACGCGCUCGUCGACGUGGUCAUCACGCUGGAGGGCUCCGUGAACCCGUCCGACAUUGUCAUCAAGCUGGAGAACUCGUACCGCAAUGGUGAGCCGGUCUACACCGGUCCACUCUGCCACACGGACGUGAACUGGAGCCUGGCGCUGCAGCGCGUAUGCCAGUACGACCCGGAGAGGGACGACGUGCUCUACCUGCCCCUGCCCACGUUUGUGCGCAACUUCUCGAGCAUGCAGACGUGCCACAUCAACUGCGGCGACCGGCUCACGGUGGCGGGCAUGUGGAACGAUCGCACAAGCGGCGGCAACGCCAACUUCACGACCUUCCGCAACAACCCCAUCUUCAUUCUUCAGAACAACAGCUCUCGUCCGGCGACCGUUCUAGCAGAGCUUCGCCACGCGGCGCCACAGUUCGUCGAUCCUGAAGGACGCAGUCACUACCCACAGUCGGGUAUUGCCCUCAUGGAGCCGACGUCUUCGACAGCCCCGCUGACGCCCUUGAUCACAAACAGCACGGCCCGCUUCCUGCAUAAGAGCAUCAUGCUCGACUCGCGUGAGGUGUGUAGCGUGAUGGAGGUGCCUGCACACAGCACGUGUCUUUUCAUUCCCUACACAGCCAACCCAGGCCAGCACGGCGCCUUCUACGUCUCUGUCUACCCAGGAUCGGCGAAGGUCGCGCUCACCCCGCUUCACUACUGCGGACUCUCGCGAGAGCCAAAGAGCGCCGCUGUGACGCUGACACCCGGUGCAGAGGGGCAGCGAGUGGACUUCACGAUCAGCAGCCCUUGCGAUGUGCAUGUGCUGCUGCGCCAGGAGAAGAUGACAGACCGAAUGGCCGCGAUCAAGGGCGAUGCUAUUGCCGAAGACGACGUGGUGAUGGUGGCGUUCAGCGACCAGGCAAUGAAGCUUACCUCCUCUGGCGAUCCGACAAACGCGCGCGAGCACUCGCUUGUGUUCAGGGCAGAGAAGCCGGGCUACUAUUCGCUUCUCCUCACAUCCCCUAAUGAACCUUUCUCUGGCGACAACCCGUGCACCGUGAGCAUCUUCACCCCGAAGCGGGUAAUGGUACGUUUUGUUGCGCCUCCUGCCGGGGCACGGCAGCUGCAACACACCCGCUUCCCGAAACUGCCACAAAAGCUCGCUGCGGCUUUGGGUGGUAACAACCCGCGUCAGUCGCGAGGGGCCUCCACGGCGUGUCAGUCGCAGCAGCGGCAGCAUGAUGAGAGGCUGCCACCACUGCGCAAAAACGGUGCCAGUACCCUGAGUUCCGGUUCCGUCUCGCGCGGCGACAGGUUUACUUGCAGUUUUUAAGGUGCUCGAUGCGCAGCAAGGCGUGCAAUGUGGACUGUGUUGGGCCACGAGCGAGACAGGUUCACGAGAGGAGGAGAGGAUGAGGCAGACGCAGCUGACAGCAGCCUUCGAUGACUGCGCCCUCUCCUUGCUUUUGACGCGUCUCUCGCACAUUGCGUUGCCCCGUUCUUGCGAAGAUCACUCCUUCCUACCAUGUUCGUUCACCACUUCCCGUGUGUUGCGGGAUGAUGUUUACGUUGCACGUCUCGUAUCGGCCAUGGUGGCCUGGUCUGCUGAAGGACGAACCUGUUUAUGCGGACCACUCCGGUGUGCGUAACGUUCUGCAGGUGCCCCUUUCUUUCCCUGUGAAUCCGUGUAGGCGCAUGCGUGGAGGUGCCUUGGCUGUCUCCUGUCUUGCGUUCGUGCUUUUAGGCGUUGCUGUUUUGUUGGUUGUUCUCGAUCCCCGCGCCGCGCUUCCUUGUCUACGAACGCCUUUUCCCACUCAUUAAUCUACGGCUUUCCGUCGGUGUCAGGGGACCGUUUCGACUGUCUCGGCGCUGUGUGUGUCUGUGUUCGUUAGUGCGUGUGCGCGUGCCGAUACGUGUGGGCAUGCGCCAAGGAGAGGAAGAGGGUGCACGGAUAGAACAGCGUCCGGGGGCGAUGACGGGGAAAGGGCGGCGAGACACGAGUGUUGUAAACAAGAAAGGGCGACAAAAAGCGAAGGAAGAGCGCGUGCAUGUAUGUGGCAGCUGGCAUGGGUUAACGGGGCAGCACGACGUCGAGAAUGGCAGGCGGGCAAGAGGAGGGGGCGCAGUGCUUUGUGAGUGCGACUCUGCCUUACUCGAUGCGUGCGCGUCGAUCGUUUCUCGUCGUGACCUUCUGUCGAGAGCUUCAGUUAGCGGGACGAAGCGGGCCGUGCUGUUCUGCAUGUUAUGUCACGUGCGUGUGCGCGAACCCUCGUGAGGGAUGGAGGCGCUUGCUCGUCGACACCUGUUUAUGUUUGUCCAAUGCAGAAUGCCACAGUAGCACCAUAGAGGCCUGUUGCACCGCUGCACGGCGUUUGAAGGGAGCGACUUCAUGCGGACAGCGUUUUGUUGCUGUCUUCGGAUUCCCCUCACCGUGACACUCUGCCUUGUCGCUCCUGGGCUAUAUGUGAUCGCCGCGAUGGGUACUGAGAAGCAUGUUCUUUGCUUCCAUCACAGCCCCAUCAGGUGCACGCGCUCCGCUUCGUCUAUCUUUAUCUUCGCUGCGAAGCUGGACGUUGCGCCGCGCUGAGCGAGAGGCAAGGGGUGAGGGCGCAUAAAUUGCUUCUCCGACGUUACCGUGUAUCUAUGUGUGCAGGGCUGGUGUUUGGCGAUAAUGACGAUCGUGGUUGCAACCGAGGAGAGAUGGCUUGGGAAAACAGAAAAACAGUGGCUUUUUCUCCAAAACCUUCACCGACCGCCGUACUCGUGGACGCACCCUGCCUGCACACACACAUACACACGAAGUCAUGCAGUCUCGCCACCCCCAACUAAGUUGAAAACGGAGCGGAAGUGCACGAAAAGCGAAAAAGAGCAUCUGCUUUUUCAUGUCGAUGAGGGAGUGGGUGAUCAUCUGAGGCGCUCGCACGAGCUCGGCCGGUUCUUCUGAGGAGGGUGUGCACGUGUCGAUGCUCCGCCUCUCUCUCCCUUCCUAUCUCGACAAGUAUGUACUUCUUUUGUUUUACUUUCUGCAGUGUGCAUCGAUGUUUGCUUUUUUUUUUCGCCCUUUUAAAGACUCUGCGUGCUCGCACGUCGGUGCGUGUGUACUUCCCGUUUUGAACGUGUUCUUUCUUGGUCUUGUUGUUUGGCAUCUUCUUUGCUUCUCAUAUAUCUAUAGUUCCGCGUCGCCGGUUGUCUACCGCCACCAUCGCUCUUGUCCACACCGCACGCACACUGCGCGUGCGCGGCUGCGUAGUGUGCAGAUGCCUUCUUCUAUGGAUGUAAUCUUUCAUGUCGUUUUUUUUUUUUGGUGGCAUGCGGGCAUAUGGCAAUUCGCUGCCGACGUUGUGGGAACUUUGUUUUCUUUCCGUGAUUGAUGCCCCCCCCCAGCACCAUUACUCACUCUCCCCACUCGGGUGUAUGAAAACGCUCCUGUAUUCCUGAUGUAUGAUCCGUAGCACGCGCGAGUAUCUGAUGUACAGAGUCUUUGUAUUCCUACACGGUCUACUUGUCUCGCUUUGACAACUUACCGAAAAAAAAAAGAAAGACAAAACAACUCACUUCACCUGAAGGGAAGUGCAGUGGGUUUUUUAUACUCUGCCGCCACCACUGCUUGUACCCCCUCCCCCUCCCCCCAAUCUCGCCACCCUUACACCUUUCUUGUAGAGAAGGCGAGUGAUCUCGAGCCUUGCUGAUGUAGCCAUCCUGCAGAAC